CUCCAACACCCAUUAAAGUCAAUGGAAAGAUUUUCCAUGGGAUGGGUCCAGGGUGCAUCUAGGAUUAUGAAAGUUUUGAUGUCUCUGGGAUGCCUUCUUGCACAUUCAAGUUAUCCCCGCUUGAAAGGAGAACAGAUUUUUCUCACUGGGGCUAGGUUUUAUUCUUAUCCAGCUGGCAAAAGGAGUAAGGUGCCCAGGGCAGCUGGCAGAGAGGUAAAUCACUGUGGAGCAGGGAGCAGGACUGGAGAAGACCUGGCUGGUGGCUCCUAACCUGCGGUGGGCUCAGCUGCUAGUUCCGGCUGGUCUGGGGAGGACGGGACUUCCUCUUCCCCUACACCACAUCUGGGACCAGGUUCAUUGUUUCAUGGACUACACUCAGGAAAAUAGAGUGUAGGUUACUAAUGGUACCCCCUCGACCCAGGUUCAUCACUCAGUGACAAUAACAUUCUAUUUGUCCUGGGAAGGAAUUUGCAUUCAAACAACAUCCUGUGCUUCAAAGGGAGUGAAAUGGAAUACAAGUGCCCUACCUAUGGAAACCACACUGGUAUUGGGUAAAUGCCUGUGAACCUUAUCUCCCGGGUACAAAGCAGCUGGAUUUCUAUACAUUAUACUUAAGGAAAACUCUACAUUUUCUGCUUGUUCAGGAUGUCUGCAAAUUCCAAAGGGCCAGCUCCAGCUUUUUUGCUGCCCCAAGCGGCGAGGG
Molecule: long non-coding RNA, 703 nt
Organism: Chrysemys picta bellii (western painted turtle)
Lineage: Eukaryota; Metazoa; Chordata; Testudines; Emydidae
Source: RefSeq, a predicted model, not a curated record